AGCGAACGCUGGCGGCAGGCCUAACACAUGCAAGUCGAACGAACCUUUCGGGGUUUGUUGCGGUCGGGUGAUUAACACCUGGUAACUUGCCUUUAGGUUCGGUAUCACUCACUUAAACUUGUGCUAAUACCGCUUGUGCCCUUCUGGGGUAAGAUUAGUCGGCUUUAGAGCGGCCCGCGUCUUUUUAGCUUGUUGGUUGAGGUAAUGGCACACCAAGGCGACGAUCAGUAGCUGGUCUGAGAGGAUGAUCAGAGACAUUGGGACUGAGACACGGCCCAAACUCGUACGGGAAGCAGCAGUGGGGAAUCUUGCGGAAUGGGCGAAAGGCUGACGCAGCAAUGGGGGGAGAAUGAUGAAGGGGUUAGGAUAGUAAAAUUCUUUGAACGGGGAGGAUAAUGACGGUACCCGGAGAAGAAGCCCCGGCUAACUACGUG
Molecule: ribosomal RNA, 434 nt
Filed under: uncultured bacterium
Lineage: Bacteria
Description: partial 16S ribosomal RNA
Rfam family: Bacterial small subunit ribosomal RNA
Source: RNAcentral